RNAcentral lists this long non-coding RNA (1292 nucleotides) under Callithrix jacchus (white-tufted-ear marmoset). RNAcentral describes it as "lncRNA (ENSCJAG00000079284.1)". Lineage: Eukaryota; Metazoa; Chordata; Mammalia; Primates; Cebidae. The record is from RNAcentral.
UUCUACCGAGUCACAGACUCCUUUUAAUCCAACAGUUUGGCAGCUGACAAAAACUAACAAGAUAGUUACUUAUUAUUAUCUGGGACAUUCUAAUCCAGUUCUAGAAUAACAAGUGGCUUCUAGAAGAUGAUAAUAGCUGUGUGUUGCCUCUACUUAUAGGUUAGCUCCUUGAUUAAAACAUGAUGUUCGAUGACCAAGAUCAUGAAUAUGGUUUCCCUCCCCACGGGCACAUCCCAUGCUGAUGCUUAUGCCACUUGGGGAGCACUUUAAGAAACAGAACAUGAAAGUACCAUUAGCUUUCCUAUCCCCUUGUAUGUCAAUGAAGAUGAAAGGUUCACCUGUAAUUUUCUCCUCCAAUAAUUACAGCUUUCAAAUAUCGAAAAGAAAAAUAGGACCAAAGAUAUUUUUAUAUUUAGUAAAUAAAGCACGUCAACUCUCAAGAGGUGCUUGGCCCUUUAAACGAUACAGCAAUGCACAGAAAGACAGUUGGGUGAGGCUGCAUGCCCUUCAUAUACAUUUCAACACCUACCUCAGGUCCCAAAAUAAAUAUUUUUAGUAUUGUCUCAUUCCGGACUGUUCCAACAUGCAUUAUAUCAGCUUGCCUGCAUAUUCUAACGUAACAGCAUGCAAGUUUCCAGCAGCUCAUUCUCGAUGUAUUUUCAACAGACAUUAAUUCCUCAUUACAUAUAUUCCACCUUUGAAAAUUACAUCAGCAAAAGAUUGUAAGAUGUAGUACUGACCAGCACAGUAUUCAUGAGGGGGGAAGAUCCAAUCUAGAGCAAGGAAAAUACUGCAAUUUUCCACACAGUAAUUACAGCUAAAACCAAUGAUACGGGCUAAACCCAACCCUGUUCCCUGUUUCCAAUGAUGUGGUGUGAUAUACCUCAGGGCCAUUUGUCAGGAAUCCUCAGGGUUGUUGAUGGAUAUGGCUAUUUUCCUUCUUUAAUUUCUCUGAAAGAAGUAGAUGGGGCAGAGGAAUGAGGGUGGGGCUCCUUUUUAGUACAUUGUAUUUUUCCUUCAGUUCGGCUAACAGGAAGGAUGAACGCAGGCCUGCAGGAAACUCUCCUUUUGCCACUAAGCCCUUCUAGGGUCAAGGGUGAGGAGCCAAGGGGUCAAUAUAACUAACCCCUAUCUGUGCUGCCUCUGGUCAACCUUCUGCUUCUGGGUUUCCACACAGACUUCCAUAGCAUUAAGAGUCUUUCUCAUCCAAAUAAGCACAUUUUUAGGGAUGGUUUAGGCUGAGUGGAACACAGAGAGGAAAAAAUGGAGUAAAAAAAAAUGUAAAAAUUUUC